CCUACGGGAGGCAGCAGUGGGGAAUAUUGCACAAUGGGGGAAACCCUGAUGCAGCGACGCCGCGUGAGUGAGGAAGUAUUUCGGUAUGUAAAGCUCUAUCAGCAGGGAAGAAAAUGACGGUACCUGACUAAGAAGCCCCGGCUAACUACGUGCCAGCAGCCGCGGUAAGACGUAGGGGGCAAGCGUUAUCCGGAUUUACUGGGUGUAAAGGGAGCGUAGACGGUUAAUCAAGUCAGAAGUGAAAAACCAGGGCUCAACCUUGGGACUGCUUUUGAAACUGAGUAGCUAGAGUUCAGGAGAGGUAAGCGGAAUUCCUAGUGUAGCGGUGAAAUGCGUAGAUAUUAGGAGGAACACCAGUGGCGAAGGCGGCUUACUGGACUGUAACUGACGUUGAGGCUCGAAAGCGUGGGGAGCAAACAGGAUUAGAUACCCGUGUAGUC
RNAcentral lists this ribosomal RNA (440 nucleotides) under uncultured bacterium. RNAcentral's name for it is "partial 16S ribosomal RNA". It matches the Rfam family "Bacterial small subunit ribosomal RNA", at positions 338 to 795 of the family's 1533-position model. The record is from RNAcentral.